Molecule: ribosomal RNA, 458 nt
Filed under: uncultured bacterium
Lineage: Bacteria
Description: partial 16S ribosomal RNA
Rfam family: Bacterial small subunit ribosomal RNA
Source: RNAcentral
CCUACGGGUGGCAGCAGUGAGGAAUAUUGGUCAAUGGCCGGAAGGCUGAACCAGCCAUGCCGCGUGAAGGUCAGUGCCCUAUGGGCGUUAAACUUCUUUUGUGCGGGAGCAAUAAUGGUCACGUGUGGCCAGACGAGAGUACCGUACGAAUAAGCAUCGGCUAACUCCGUGCCAGCAGCCGCGGUAAUACGGGGGAUGCAAGCGUUAUCCGGAUUUAUUGGGUUUAAAGGGUGCGCAGGCGGUCUGUUAAGUCAGCGGUCAAAGCCCGGGGCUCAACCCCGGCCCGCCGUUGAAACUGGCAGUCUCGAGUUGGAGAGAAGUAUGCGGAAUGCGCGGUGUAGCGGUGAAAUGCAUAGAUAUCGCGCAGAACUCCGAUUGCGAAGGCAGCAUGCCGGCUCCACACUGACGCUGAGGCACGAAAGCGUGGGUAUCGAACAGGAUUAGAUACCCCAGUAGUC